RNAcentral lists this ribosomal RNA (136 nucleotides) under Chinchilla lanigera (long-tailed chinchilla). Lineage: Eukaryota; Metazoa; Chordata; Mammalia; Rodentia; Chinchillidae. The record is from RNAcentral.
GUCUAUGGCCAUACCACCCUGAAUGUGCCCCAUCUCAUCUGAACUCGGAAGUAAGCAGGGUCAGGCCUUGUUAGUACUUGGAUGGGAGAUAUUACUAUUCUUCUGCACUUAGGGAGGAGAAGUAGGAGCAUUGCUC